RNAcentral lists this ribosomal RNA (497 nucleotides) under uncultured bacterium. RNAcentral describes it as "partial 16S ribosomal RNA". It matches the Rfam family "Bacterial small subunit ribosomal RNA", at positions 28 to 507 of the family's 1533-position model. The record is from RNAcentral.
GAUGAACGCUGGCGGCGUGCCUAAUACAUGCAAGUCGAGCGAACGGACGAGAAGCUUGCUUCUCUGAUGUUAGCGGCGGACGGGUGAGUAACACGUGGAUAACCUACCUAUAAGACUGGGAUAACUUCGGGAAACCGGAGCUAAUACCGGAUAAUAUUUUGAACCGCAUGGUUCAAAAGUGAAAGACGUUCUUGCUGUCUCUUAUAGAUGGAUCCGCGCUUCAUUAGCUAGUUGGUAAGGUAACGGCUUACCAAGGCAACGAUGCAUAGACGACCUGAGAGGGUGAUCGGCCACACUGGAACUGAGACACGGUACAGACGACGACGGGAGGGAGCAGUAGGGAAUGUGACGCAAUGGGCGAAAGCAUGAAGGAGCAAAGCCGCGUGAGUGAUGAAGGUCUUCGGAUCGUAAAACUCUGUUAUUAGGGAAGAAAAUAUGUGUAAGUAAAUGUGCACAUAUUGACGGUACCUAAUCAGAAAGCAACGGCUAACUACGUG